GAGGGCGCAGAGUUUGCUGCUCUGAGAAGAGCGCAUCGGCGUCGGUUGCCAAUUAAAGUGUUCAGCACCUUCAUCCGCAGGCCCCUCGCGGGGGGAGUGUUUGGCAGAAAUACUCACAGUGCGUAUAGCGCGUACCAGCAGUGACCAGGGCAAUAUUGUUUGUUGUCACACAGCUUCGGACGUCCCCCCAUAAGCGAGGAGGACCUGGGUAGUGAGGUGGGGUCAGUCCACUGGAGGCGAUUCCGCGUUCCGUGGGCAUCGCAUCCCGAUGGGGAGAGACGGAAGUGCCGGUGCAUUCUGCACCCUGCCCUGCGGGACAGCAGAGCGUGUGCGCCGGCGGGCUCGGCCGCCGCUGUCAGCGGAGGUGGGCAGGCCCUGCAGCGCAGAGCCUGUGUGACUGCGGGCUGGGGCCACGCAGCCUGGUCACGUGGGGGAGGCGGGGCCUGCCCGUCCUCGUGACUCCGCGCCGGGGACCAGACCCCACCCCCACGGCCGGCUCGGCACAGCCUGGACGUGGAUCCCGCUGUCCAACUGUCGUUACGGGGGACCGUCGGACUUGUUUGCUGGGACCUGGGUCCGUAGUCGGCCGACACCAGUGACGCAGGGGAGAGUGGCGUUCGUUAUUGAGACUCGGUGUCGCAGGGCGAUGGGCGUAAUGCACAUGUUUACGGCUUAAAAAGAGGCUGAAAGUUCCUCGUUCUUCCCCAGACCCAGUGGGCUCAUCUGGCUCAUGGAAAAUGCGUACAUAGCCCAGGAAGAGAAAUCUCGUUUAAAGAGAUGCUGAAAACCGCACCGAGAGAGGAGAAUGAGAUGACAGGAAUUCCCGGCAAGUCUGGGGCACAGACAGCCAGGACUUUGCUCCUAGGAGCAGAGACGAGAACAGGACCAGGCAGCCGGCCCGGCCCCUCUGGCCCACCCGGCGUCUGACAGCCCCGUCCCCGACCCCCCACCCCCCCAGCCUGCCUCCGACUCCAUCACGUUGUUCAGAUUACUUCAGAUCAGUCUUGGAAACCACCUUCCAUUGAGGGGGCCUGUGUGUGCGGUUGUAGAGCAGCAUGGAGGUGUUUGAAAUAUCAGUGGCUGUUUUUGAAACUGGAAGGGGAAUGUUUCAUCUCACUUGAGAGAGGCAGCCCUUGUGCACAUGGCUAGAAACACACUUAAAAAGAAUUUAAAAUGCGGCAGAAGUCCUGCAUCCGUCUGCCGCAGGCACACGGGGUCUCCAGCCGGCCCCCGCCCUGCCUCUAACUUCUGUGCGUAAGCCACAGACCGUUUUCUCUGAAACUUACUCCAUUUGUGAAAGAUGACAAAGUCAGAAGUACACCCUGGGGUCCGGGUGGCUGGGCCCGACUCCUGACCGGCUCAGGUCACAAUCUCGCGGUUUGUGCGGCUGAGCCCCGCGGUGGGCUCUGCGCCGCACCAGCCGGGAGCCUGCCUGGGAUUCUCUGUUGCUCUGCCCCUCCUCUGUUGGUGCCUCUGUCCCUCAAAGUAAAUAAAUUUAUUUUAAAAAGUGUACUCCUAGAGACCUAGGACAACUCAGUGGGCCAGUCUGCAUAUUGAAUAAAGAUACGCAAACGUUAAAAAAUAUGAAUGGUUGUUCGUGCCUGUCGGCCUUGGACAAAGAGAAAAGGUCAGAAGACGUAGGACAGGGCGAGUGGCCCCAGGGCUUGAAGUGCCUCCGACAGUUUUCAGAAUCAAUUUCCUGAGGUUUCGAUAUCUUUUAUGGGACAAACAUUCUCGUUUGACAAUAAUAUGAGCCAAUCUCAAUACAGAGACGUUUCCGUUACAAUCUUUUACUUUUUUUAAUGAUUAUUUAUUUUUGAGAGAGAAACAGAGCUUGAGCAGGGGAGGGGCAGAGAGAGAGGGAGACACAGAAUCCGAAGCAGCUCCAGGCUCUGAGCUGUCAGCACAGAGCCCGACGUGGGGCUCGAACCCGCGAACCGUGAGAUCAUGACCUGAGCCGAAGCCGGACACCUAACCGUGAGCCACCCGGGCGCCCCAAGGAACACUGUUUUCUGUAUGCACAGGUGACGUAGCUGUGUGCCGUACUCAUUCUUGAAGGUGUCUCAGGUUUGGCUACCUUGUGAUGUGAUUUUUCCCUCCAUUUCAUUUUCUAACAAUGUUAGUAUAAAAGCAUUUUUAUCGUAUAAAUUGGACUCCUAUCCAGUCAUCUUGCUGAAUUCUCCUGACACUUUUUGGUGAGGCUUUUCAAUUUUCUAUCCAUUCCUUAUCUUACACCAGGCACAAAAAUUUGCACUCAAAGUGGAUUAGAGACUUAAAUGUACGAUCCGAAACUGUAAAAGUCCUGGAAGAACACAAAGGGAAGAGCUCCCUGGCGUGGGUCUCAGCGAUGAUUCCUCAGAUCUGACACCAAGAGCAAGCAUGGGCAGGUGGAAGGAUGUGGAGACAGCCGCACCGCAGAGAGGCCCCGCGGCAAAGGCAACAGGCAGAACAGGAGAAGAAUAUUUGCAAACCAGGGAUCUGGUGAGUGGUUAAUUUCCAGAAUUUAUAAGGAACCCCUGCAGCUUAGUAACAAAGAGCCAAAUAACCCAAUGAAACCAUGAGCAGAGAACCUUCUUCUCCAAAGAAGACAUACCAGUGGCCAACAGGUGCACAAAAAGGUGUUUAACAUUUUCCGCUAAUCAUCAAGAAAUGCAAAACGAAACUCCAGUGAGAUAUCACCUCACACCAUCAGGAUGAUUACCAUUAAAAAAAAAAU
Suricata suricatta (meerkat) is the source of this 2716-nucleotide long non-coding RNA. The record is from Ensembl. Lineage: Eukaryota; Metazoa; Chordata; Mammalia; Carnivora; Herpestidae.